This 56-nucleotide ribosomal RNA is filed under the name Pestalotiopsis sp. RNAcentral's name for it is "partial 28S ribosomal RNA". The record is from RNAcentral. Lineage: Eukaryota; Fungi; Ascomycota; Sordariomycetes; Amphisphaeriales; Sporocadaceae.
UCUUUAGCCGCUAAAUCCCCCAAUUUUUAAUGGUGACCUCGGAUCAGAGAGGUCAA